ACGUCCUUAGUUCAGUUGGUAGAACGUAGGUUUCCAAAACCUAAUGCCGUGGGUUCAAGUCCUACAGGACGUGUCA
Molecule: transfer RNA, 76 nt
Filed under: Rickettsiaceae bacterium
Lineage: Bacteria; Pseudomonadati; Pseudomonadota; Alphaproteobacteria; Rickettsiales; Rickettsiaceae
Description: tRNA-Trp
Rfam family: tRNA
About the family: Transfer RNA (tRNA) molecules are approximately 80 nucleotides in length.
Source: RNAcentral